UACGGAGGGUGCAAGCGUUAUCCGGAUUCACUGGGUUUAAAGGGUGCGUAGGUGGGUCUGUAAGUCCGUGGUGAAAUCUCUGAGCUUAACUCGGAAACUGCCAUGGAUACUACGGGUCUUGAAUAUCGUGGAGGUGAGCGGAAUAUGUCAUGUAGCGGUGAAAUGCUUAGAUAUGACAUAGAACACCAAUUGCGAAGGCAGCUCACUACACGAAUAUUGACACUGAGGCACGAAAGCGUGGGGAUCAAACAGG
RNAcentral lists this ribosomal RNA (253 nucleotides) under uncultured bacterium. RNAcentral's name for it is "partial 16S ribosomal RNA". It matches the Rfam family "Bacterial small subunit ribosomal RNA", at positions 524 to 776 of the family's 1533-position model. The record is from RNAcentral.